GAAUCCCCAGAAUUUGAUUUCGGAUUUGAAUCUGUUUCUUCAUAAUCAUCUCCACGAGUCCUAUUUUCUUCUACGAUUGCAUCUGUUGCCUUUUCGAUUUCACCUACUAGAUCUGAUUCUUUGUUAAAGCUUGUGUUCUUUGUACGCACCAUUCUCUUAUCCUUCACACAAAAUAAAUAACCGCAAAUUAACAACAAACUUGAGUAAUAAACAAAAUCAACAACCCCAAAUUAGAUUAACAAAUCGAAAACACCUAAAUCGACAACAUCCAAGCGGAUCUAACAUAAAAUAGCCAAAGAAUCAUUGAUUUUGACUUACCCAGAAUCAAGUUGUCCUUAGUUGUACUCGACGAACUGCUUGUGAUUUUUGGAUUUUUCAAACACUUAGGAUUUGAGAGUUUUAUGAUUUUUCAAUCGAUGAAGAAGACAA
This 429-nucleotide long non-coding RNA is filed under the name Capsella rubella. RNAcentral's name for it is "long non-coding RNA (CRUB_LNC002297)". The record is from RNAcentral. Lineage: Eukaryota; Viridiplantae; Streptophyta; Magnoliopsida; Brassicales; Brassicaceae.